This 253-nucleotide ribosomal RNA is filed under the name uncultured bacterium. RNAcentral describes it as "partial 16S ribosomal RNA". It matches the Rfam family "Bacterial small subunit ribosomal RNA", at positions 524 to 776 of the family's 1533-position model. The record is from RNAcentral.
GACGAACCUUGCUAACGUUAUUCGGAAUUACUGGGCUUAAAGGGUGCGUAGGCGGUGCAGCAAGUCGGGUGUGAAAUCCCUCAGCUCAACUGAGGAACGGCGCCCGAAACUGCUGUGCUCGAGGAAGAUAGAGGUACGCGGAACUUAGGGUGGAGCGGUGAAAUGCGUUGAUAUCCUAAGGAACACCGGUGGCGAAGGCGGCCCACUGGCUCGAUACUGACGCUGAGGUGCGAAAGCGUGGGGAGCAAACAGG